RNAcentral lists this ribosomal RNA (253 nucleotides) under uncultured bacterium. RNAcentral describes it as "partial 16S ribosomal RNA". It matches the Rfam family "Bacterial small subunit ribosomal RNA", at positions 524 to 776 of the family's 1533-position model. The record is from RNAcentral.
UACGAAGGGGGCUAGCGUUGUUCGGAAUUACUGGGCGUAAAGCGCACGUAGGCGGGUUUGUAAGUAGGGGGUGAAAUCCCAGGGCUCAACCCUGGAACUGCCUUCUAGACUGCAAGCCUGGAGGUCAGGAGAGGCGAGUGGAAUACCGAGUGUAGAGGUGAAAUUCGUAGAUAUCGAGAGGAACACCGGCGGCGAAGGCGGCCAACUGGACCACUACUGACGCUGAGACACGAAAGCGUGGGGAGCAAACAGG